RNAcentral lists this non-coding RNA (122 nucleotides) under uncultured Blautia sp. Its description in RNAcentral is "FMN riboswitch (RFN element)". It matches the Rfam family "FMN riboswitch aptamer (RFN element)". Rfam says of the family: The RFN element is a highly conserved domain that is found frequently in the 5'-untranslated regions of prokaryotic mRNAs that encode for flavin mononucleotide (FMN) biosynthesis and transport proteins. Lineage: Bacteria; Bacillati; Bacillota; Clostridia; Lachnospirales; Lachnospiraceae. The record is from RNAcentral.
UUUCUUCGGGGUUGGGUGACAGCAUCGGCUGAAUUCCCUACCGGCGGUAUAGUCCGCGACCCGCGCAAGCGGCUGAUUUGGUGAAAUUCCAAAACCGACAGUAAAGUCUGGAUGAGAGAAGA